RNAcentral lists this ribosomal RNA (501 nucleotides) under uncultured bacterium. RNAcentral describes it as "partial 16S ribosomal RNA". It matches the Rfam family "Bacterial small subunit ribosomal RNA", at positions 30 to 523 of the family's 1533-position model. The record is from RNAcentral.
AUUGAACGCUGGCGGCAGGCUUAACACAUGCAAGUCGAGCGGGGGAAGGUAGCUUGCUACCGGACCUAGCGGCGGACGGGUGAGUAAUGCUUAGGAAUCUGCCUAUUAGUGGGGGACAACUUCUCGAAAGGGAUGCUAAUACCGCAUACGUCCUACGGGAGAAAGCAGGGGAUCUUCGGACCUUGCGCUAAUCGCUAAGCCUCAGUCGGAUUAGCUAGUUGGUGGGGUAAAGGCCUACCAAGGCGACGAUCUGUAGCGGGUCUGAGAGGAUGAUCCGCCACAAUGGGACUGAGACACGGCCCAGACUCCUACGGGAGGCAGCAGUGGGGAAUAUUGGACAAUGGGGGGAACCCUGAUCCAGCCAUGCCGCGUGUGUGAAGAAGGCCUUAUGGUUGUAAAGCACUUUAAGCGAGGAGGAGGCUACUUUAGUUAAUACCUGGAGAUAGUGGACGUUACUCGCAGAAUAAGCACCGGCUAACUCUGUGCCAGCCGCCGCGGUAA